RNAcentral lists this unclassified non-coding RNA (205 nucleotides) under uncultured Sebacina. RNAcentral describes it as "sequence contains ITS2". The record is from RNAcentral. Lineage: Eukaryota; Fungi; Basidiomycota; Agaricomycetes; Sebacinales; Sebacinaceae.
UACUCUCACACUCUCUGAUCCUUUGGAUUCAGGGAGUGGUGGACUUUGGGUGUUUGCCGCUUUCCUUGUGGCUCACCUCAAAUGCGUCAGUGCACCUCUUGGUUGGACAUAGUACGGCGUGAUAAGUAUCUUCGCCGGCACCUCGUGAGAGGGUGGCCGAUCGGGAGCUCUGUGCUUUCAAACUGUCUUCGGACAAUCUCUGACA